This 763-nucleotide long non-coding RNA is filed under the name Lonchura striata (white-rumped munia). RNAcentral describes it as "domestica (Bengalese finch) lncRNA (ENSLSDG00000013220.1)". The record is from RNAcentral. Lineage: Eukaryota; Metazoa; Chordata; Aves; Passeriformes; Estrildidae.
CCGAGCUUCCCAGCUUCUCGCCCUGCGCUGCGCGCCCCCGCGCGUCUCCCGGUCCCCCCUCCCCGCUCCGCCGCUGCGCGUGCCCGCGCCCGGGGCUGACUCUCCUCGCAUCCUCCUCCGGCGGCGGCGACGGCGGCAGCGCCGGGGAUGGGCAGCGAGAGCGCGCCCAGGAGCAGCCCGGGCCCCGCCGCUCGCCCCUGCUCCCGCGCCCGCUGCUGCUCCUGCCCCGCAGCCCCCCGCGCACCGGGGGCAGCGCCGCCGCCGCGCCAUCCGCAGCCCCCGCCUCGGACGGGUCUUACUUGCUGGAACCAAACUUUUGAGGCAGGUCCACAGAAAGGCUGGGACAGAGAUCAGGCACUCACUGCACACCUGGGAUUCACUGAGCAGGUUUGUGCUCUUUUACACUGCCAUUGGGAUUAUGCCCAUGGGUACACUGUCCAUUCUACCAGCCAAUCCUUCAGGUGCAGGUUGUAGUGGUGGUUCUGCUGGCACACUCUGCAGGCACCUCAACUGCUUUAAGGUAGGUGCUUUACCCUUAAAUUCUUCUCCUUUCUCCCAUGACCUCUUCUUUCCUUUAUUAUCUUCUUUUACAUCAUUCUAAAACACCUACAGGGUUCCUACUAUUUUCUUUAAAUCUAUUCUGACCAGCCUAUUCUUCUGUGAUGUCUGCAAGAAUCUCAUCAGCCAUUUAUCUACUUAGAUAUGUUGCAUCUAUUUAUCUAGAUAGCAUAAUAAAUAAUCCUGACUUGGAUCUGUCCUUCCA